RNAcentral lists this ribosomal RNA (764 nucleotides) under uncultured bacterium. RNAcentral's name for it is "bacterial SSU rRNA". It matches the Rfam family "Bacterial small subunit ribosomal RNA", at positions 70 to 849 of the family's 1533-position model. The record is from RNAcentral.
CUUGAGAGAGCUUGCUCUCUCAGUUAGUGGCGGACGGGUGAGUAACACGUGAGCAACCUGCCUUUAAGAGUGGGAUAACGGUCGGAAACGACCGCUAAUACCGCAUAAUAUACAUGAAUCGCAUGGUUUGUGUAUCAAAGAUUUAUCGCUUAAAGGUGGGCUCGCGUCUGAUUAGCUGGUUGGUGAGGUAACGGCUCACCAAGGCGACGAUCAGUAGCCGUACUGAGAGGUAGAACGGCCACAUUGGGACUGAGACACGGCCCAGACUCCUACGGGAGGCAGCAGUGGGGAAUAUUGCACAAUGGAGGAAACUCUGAUGCAGCGAUGCCGCGUGAGGGAAGAAGGUUUUCGGAUUGUAAACCUCUGUCUUAAGGGACGAUAAUGACGGUACCUUAGGAGGAAGCUCCGGCUAACUACGUGCCAGCAGCCGCGGUAAUACGUAGGGAGCGAGCGUUGUCCGGAAUUACUGGGUGUAAAGGGAGUGUAGGCGGGAUGGUAAGUUAGGUGUGAAAUGCGGAGGCUCAACCUCCGAGCUGCACUUAAAACUGCUGUUCUUGAGUGAAGUAGAGGUUGGCGGAAUUCCCAGUGUAGCGGUGAAAUGCGUAGAUAUUGGGAGGAACAUCAGUGGCGAAGGCGGCCAACUGGGCUUUUACUGACGCUGAGGCUCGAAAGCGUGGGGAGCAAACAGGAUUAGAUACCCUGGUAGUCCACGCUGUAAACGAUGAUUACUAGGUGUGGGGGGGGCUGACCCCUUUCCGUGCCGC